This is a non-coding RNA of Xylona heveae TC161, 111 nucleotides long. The record is from Rfam. NCBI's taxonomy places the organism in Eukaryota, Fungi, Ascomycota, Xylonomycetes, Xylonales, Xylonaceae.
GUCGCGAUGCCAGAGUGGUUAAUGGGUGUGCCUGCUACUCCUCGGUUCUUCGGAAUCGACUAGCGUUAGCACAUGGCUUCGGCCGCGCAAGUUCGAAUCUUGUUCGCGACG